GGUCAAGUGAAGAAGAGCAUGAGGCGGAUGCCUUGGUACCGGGAGCCGACGAAGGACGUGACAAGCUGCGAAAAGCUGCGGAGAGGAGCAAAUAUCCAUCGAUCCGCAGAUAUCCGAAUGAGGGAACUCACCCGUGGCAAUGCGCGGGUACCGCACGCUGAAUAAAAUAGGCGUGGCGGAGGGAACGUGGGGAACUGAAACAUCUAAGUACCCAUAGGAAAAGAAAGAAAGAUCGAUUUCCAAAGUAGCGGCGAGCGAAAUGGAAAGAGCCCAAACCGAGCCUACGGGCGAGGGGUUGCGGGCUGCCAUAAGCGAUCAG
This 319-nucleotide ribosomal RNA is filed under the name Eubacteriales Family XIII. Incertae Sedis bacterium. Its description in RNAcentral is "partial 23S ribosomal RNA". It matches the Rfam family "Bacterial large subunit ribosomal RNA", at positions 1 to 321 of the family's 2925-position model. The record is from RNAcentral. Lineage: Bacteria; Bacillati; Bacillota; Clostridia; Peptostreptococcales; Anaerovoracaceae.